Molecule: transfer RNA, 73 nt
Filed under: Nippostrongylus brasiliensis
Lineage: Eukaryota; Metazoa; Nematoda; Chromadorea; Rhabditida; Heligmosomidae
Rfam family: tRNA
About the family: Transfer RNA (tRNA) molecules are approximately 80 nucleotides in length. Their secondary structure includes four short double-helical elements and three loops (D, anti-codon, and T loops).
Source: Rfam by way of RNAcentral
GCCUCAGUAGCAUAGUGGUUAGUGCACAGCCCCGGAUUGGUUUGAGACUCGGGUUCGAAUCCCGCCUGAGGUG